CUGAAUUAGUCAGCGCUGGUGACGAUUGACGCUCUUCAGGCGCUUUCUAGUUUAGU
Neolamprologus brichardi is the source of this 56-nucleotide microRNA precursor. Lineage: Eukaryota; Metazoa; Chordata; Actinopteri; Cichliformes; Cichlidae. The record is from Ensembl.